GGAGGGGUGGGUGAGUGGACGAAACCACCGGUCUUGAAAACCGGCAGGCCCCAAGCCUCGCGGGUUCGAAUCCCGCCCCCUCCG
Molecule: transfer RNA, 84 nt
Filed under: Candidatus Bipolaricaulota bacterium
Lineage: Bacteria; Candidatus Bipolaricaulota
Description: tRNA-Ser
Rfam family: tRNA
About the family: Transfer RNA (tRNA) molecules are approximately 80 nucleotides in length. Their secondary structure includes four short double-helical elements and three loops (D, anti-codon, and T loops).
Source: RNAcentral